This 460-nucleotide ribosomal RNA is filed under the name uncultured bacterium. RNAcentral describes it as "partial 16S ribosomal RNA". It matches the Rfam family "Bacterial small subunit ribosomal RNA", at positions 338 to 795 of the family's 1533-position model. The record is from RNAcentral.
CCUACGGGAGGCAGCAGUGAGGAAUAUUGGUCAAUGGGCGAGAGCCUGAACCAGCCAAGUCGCGUGAAGGAUGAAGGAUCUAUGGUUUGUAAACUUCUUUUAUAUGGGAAUAAAGUGAGGAACGUGUUCCUUUUUGUAUGUACCAUAUGAAUAAGCAUCGGCUAACUCCGUGCCAGCAGCCGCGGUAAUACGGAGGAUGCGAGCGUUAUCCGGAUUUAUUGGGUUUAAAGGGUGCGUAGGUGGUUAGUUAAGUCAGUGGUGAAAGUUUGUGGCUCAACCAUAAAAUUGCCGUUGAAACUGGUUGUCUUGAGUAUAGUUGAGGUAGGCGGAAUGCGUGGUGUAGCGGUGAAAUGCAUAGAUAUCACGCAGAACUCCGAUUGCGAAGGCAGCUUACUAAACUAUAACUGACACUGAAGCACGAAAGCGUGGGGAUCAAACAGGAUUAGAUACCCUUGUAGUC